UGGGGAAUAUUGCACAAUGGGCGCAAGCCUGAUGCAGCCAUGCCGCGUGUAUGAAGAAGGCCUUCGGGUUGUAAAGUACUUUCAGCGAGGAGGAAGGCGGUAAGGUUAAUAACCUUAUCGAUUGACGUUACUCGCAGAAGAAGCACCGGCUAACUCCGUGCCAGCAGCCGCGGUAAUACGGAGGGUGCAAGCGUUAAUCGGAAUUACUGGGCGUAAAGCGCACGCAGGCGGUCUGUCAAGUCGGAUGUGAAAUCCCCGGGCUCAACCUGGGAACUGCAUUCGAAACUGGCAGGCUAGAGUCUUGAAGAGGGGGGUAGAAUUCCAGGUGUAGCGGUGAAAUGCGUAGAGAUCUGGAGGAAUACCGGUGGCGAAGGCGGCCCCCUGGACAAAGACUGACGCUCAGGUGCGAAAGCGUGGGGAGCAAACA
This 427-nucleotide ribosomal RNA is filed under the name uncultured bacterium. Its description in RNAcentral is "partial 16S ribosomal RNA". It matches the Rfam family "Bacterial small subunit ribosomal RNA", at positions 355 to 774 of the family's 1533-position model. The record is from RNAcentral.